AAGCUCGUAGUUGAAUUUCGGGGUUUACCCAUUGGUCAGGCUUAAUUGUCUGUACUGGUGUGUGUCGAAUCUCUACCUUCUGAGGAACCUUCAUGCCAUUUAUUUGGUGUGAUGGGAAAUCAGGACUGUUACUUUGAAAAAAUUAGAGUGUUUAAAGCAGGCUAACGUCUGAAUACAUUAGCAUGGAAUAAUGAAAUAGGACGGCUUGGUUCUAUUUCGUUGGUUUCUAGGAUCACCGUAAUGAUUAAUAGGGAUAGUUGGG
Molecule: ribosomal RNA, 262 nt
Filed under: uncultured Diversispora
Lineage: Eukaryota; Fungi; Glomeromycota; Glomeromycetes; Diversisporales; Diversisporaceae
Description: partial 18S ribosomal RNA
Rfam family: Eukaryotic small subunit ribosomal RNA
Source: RNAcentral